RNAcentral lists this long non-coding RNA (389 nucleotides) under Rosa chinensis. RNAcentral describes it as "sRNA RchiOBHm_Chr6g0256341". Lineage: Eukaryota; Viridiplantae; Streptophyta; Magnoliopsida; Rosales; Rosaceae. The record is from RNAcentral.
UUUAAAGAUACAUGUAGGUGCGCCAACAAUUUAGAUUUGUAAUAGAUGGAAUUUUUUCAUAGAGCAGAAAAUGUUGCCAUUUGUGCUUCUUCAAGACCCAAGGGACCUCAACUCUUCAAUUAGAGCAUGUUUAUAAGAAUGAAUAUUUAACAUAAAAGCUUUGGUAUAUAGGUCUGAUUCUUAAUUCAGUUGGCAUUAUGCUGCUGAAAUUAACUUCUUGCAUGUUGUCUUUCAGUGGAAAUAAAAUUGGCACUACCAUGCACGGAUGACAUUCAUGAGGAAAACCUCUUCUCUUCGAUGAGUUCGAUCAAAACAUGUAGGUGGCUAACAACUUAGAUUUGUAAUAGAUGGAGGAUUUUCAUAGAGCAGAAAAUGUUGCCAUUUGUGCU